AUUGAACGCUGGCGGCAUGCUUUACACAUGCAAGUCGAACGGCAGCGCGGGCUUCGGCCUGGCGGCGAGUGGCGAACGGGUGAGUAAUGCAUCGGAACGUGCCCAGUAGUGGGGGAUAGCCCGGCGAAAGCCGGAUUAAUACCGCAUACGACCUGAGGGUGAAAGCGGGGGACCGAAAGGCCUCGCGCUAUUGGAGCGGCCGAUGUCGGAUUCGCUAGUUGGUGGGGUAAAGGCUUACCAAGGCGACGAUCCGUAGCUGGUCUGAGAGGACGACCAGCCACACUGGGACUGAGACACGGCCCAGACUCCUACGGGAGGCAGCAGUGGGGAAUUUUGGACAAUGGGGGCAACCCUGAUCCAGCCAUGCCGCGUGCGGGAAGAAGGCCUUCGGGUUGUAAACCGCUUUUGUUCGGGAAGAAAUCCUCUGGGCUAAUACCCCGGGGGGAUGACGGUACCGGAAGAAUAAGCACCGGCUAACUACGUG
This 484-nucleotide ribosomal RNA is filed under the name uncultured bacterium. RNAcentral's name for it is "partial 16S ribosomal RNA". It matches the Rfam family "Bacterial small subunit ribosomal RNA", at positions 28 to 507 of the family's 1533-position model. The record is from RNAcentral.